GGGCCUGUAGUCUAGCCUGGAUAGGAUGGCGGGCUUCGGACCCGCAGACCCCGGUUCGAAUCCGGGCAGGCUCG
Molecule: transfer RNA, 74 nt
Filed under: Candidatus Woesearchaeota archaeon
Lineage: Archaea; Nanobdellati; Candidatus Woesearchaeota
Description: tRNA-Arg
Rfam family: tRNA
About the family: Transfer RNA (tRNA) molecules are approximately 80 nucleotides in length. Their secondary structure includes four short double-helical elements and three loops (D, anti-codon, and T loops). Further hydrogen bonds mediate the characteristic L-shaped molecular structure. tRNAs have two regions of fundamental functional importance: the anti-codon, which is responsible for specific mRNA codon recognition, and the 3' end, to which the tRNAs corresponding amino acid is attached (by aminoacyl-tRNA synthetases). tRNAs cope with the degeneracy of the genetic code in two manners: having more than one tRNA (with a specific anti-codon) for a particular amino acid; and 'wobble' base-pairing, i.e. permitting non-standard base-pairing at the 3rd anti-codon position.
Source: RNAcentral